GGUUAAGUGACUAAGCGUACACGGUGGAUGCCUUGGCAGUCAGAGGCGAUGAAAGGCGUAAUAACUUGCGAUAAGCCCAGAUUAGGUAGUAAUAACCUUUUGAGUCUGGGAUUCCUGAAUGGGGAAACCCACUUGCAUAAGCAAGUAUCCUGUUGUGAAUACAUAGCAACAGGAGGCAAACCGGGGGAACUGAAACAUCUAAGUACCCCGAGGAAGAGAAAUCAACCGAGAUUCCGAAAGUAGCGGCGAGCGAAAUUGGAUUAGCCCUUAAGCUUUUAAUGAGACAGAUGAAGGCUCUGGAAAGUGCCGCAAUAAAGGGUGAUAGCCCCGUAAUCGACAUCUCAUAAUCAGUGAAAACGAGUAGGGCGGGACACGUGAUAUCCUGUCUGAAUAUGGGGGGACCAUCCUCCAAGGCUAAAUACUACUGACUGACCGAUAGUGAACCAGUACCGUGAGGGAAAGGCGAAAAGAACCCCUGUGAGGGGAGUGAAAUAGAACCUGAAACCGUGUACGUACAAGCAGUAGGAGCACCUUCGUGGUGUGACUGCGUACCUUUUGUAUAAUGGGUCAGCGACUUAAUUUUAGUAGCAAGGUUAACCGUUUAGGGGAGCCGUAGGGAAACCGAGUCUUAACUGGGCGUACAGUUGCUAGGAUUAGACCCGAAACCAGGUGAUCUAGCCAUGGGCAGGUUGAAGGUUGAGUAACAUCAACUGGAGGACCGAACCGACUAAUGUUGAAAAAUUAGCGGAUGACUUGUGGCUAGGGGUGAAAGGCCAAUCAAACCUGGAGAUAGCUGGUUCUCCCCGAAAGCUAUUUAGGUAGCGCCUCGGACGAAUACUACUGGGGGUAGAGCACUGUUAAGGCUAGGGGGUCAUCCCGACUUACCAACCCUUUGCAAACUCCGAAUACCAGUAAGUACUAUCCGGGAGACACACGGCGGGUGCUAACGUCCGUCGUGGAGAGGGAAACAACCCAGACCGCCAGCUAAGGUCCCAAAGUAUAGCUAAGUGGGAAACGAUGUGGGAAGGCUCAGACAGCCAGGAUGUUGGCUUAGAAGCAGCCAUCAUUUAAAGAAAGCGUAAUAGCUCACUGGUCGAGUCGGCCUGCGCGGAAGAUGUAACGGGGCUAAGCUAUACACCGAAGCUGCGGCUACGUACCUUAGGGUAUGUGGGGUAGGGGAGCGUUCUGUAAGCCGUUGAAGGUGGUCUGUAAGGGCUGCUGGAGGUAUCAGAAGUGCGAAUGCUGACAUGAGUAACGAUAAAGGGAGUGAAAAACUCCCUCGCCGGAAGACCAAGGGUUCCUGUCCAACGUUAAUCGGGGCAGGGUAAGUCGACUCCUAAGGCGAGGCCGAAAGGCGUAGUCGAUGGGAAACGGGUUAAUAUUCCCGUACUUCUUACAAUUGCGAUGGGGGGACGGAGAAGGCUAGGUGGGCCUGGCGACGGUUGUCCAGGUUCAAGUA
This 1459-nucleotide ribosomal RNA is filed under the name Vibrio splendidus. RNAcentral's name for it is "partial 23S ribosomal RNA". It matches the Rfam family "Bacterial large subunit ribosomal RNA", at positions 1 to 1518 of the family's 2925-position model. Lineage: Bacteria; Pseudomonadati; Pseudomonadota; Gammaproteobacteria; Vibrionales; Vibrionaceae. The record is from RNAcentral.